Acyrthosiphon pisum (pea aphid) is the source of this 655-nucleotide long non-coding RNA. RefSeq lists it as uncharacterized. The record is from RefSeq and is a predicted model, not a curated record. Lineage: Eukaryota; Metazoa; Arthropoda; Insecta; Hemiptera; Aphididae. The transcript has 2 exons.
UCAGCUAGUAUUAUAUAUGUGUGUAACAUACAAUACUGUUAACAGCCUACCGUCAACUACCUACCUUAUUAUUAUUAUAAUCAUGACAAAAUAAACAUUGCACAAUGCACAUGUAUGGUAAUUUUUAAAUUUUGUAUUUAACUAUAUUUGACGACUGAUGUAGGCCUAUAUAAAGAAGUAUAAUAAUAUUACAGCAUGGACACCGCGAUACCAUCAUCACACUUCACGUUGAUAGACACCACGCAUAGUUCAAAACAAAGAAAAAGGUAUCAGAUUCACAAUUUCUGUAUAUUAAAUCUUGAUGAUAUUUAUCUGCUUACUAUUUUUUUUUUUAUUUUUUAGGUAAAACGAGUUCUACCAGACUGGCUCACCAAACCUACAACAGUUGUAUCGAUCGAUUCAAAACACCUAUAGAAGCGCUCACUUACGGCAUUCCAGACACCCCGCUUUAAUUCAGAAACUGGAAAAUGAAGGAUUUCAAAAUCAACUAUAGUACCAUGGAUAAUUAAGACACAAACACAUUUGGACUACAGAUGGCUCAGUGACGUAUGUAUUUCAGCAGCGACUGGCAGUUAAAAAAUUUUCUCUCAUGUUCUUCUUAAAAUUCAGGUUGGGCGUGCUCAUUCAAUGCAUUAAAACCAAAAUUUAUUCAGAA